This 184-nucleotide ribosomal RNA is filed under the name uncultured eukaryote. RNAcentral describes it as "partial 18S ribosomal RNA". It matches the Rfam family "Eukaryotic small subunit ribosomal RNA", at positions 1299 to 1458 of the family's 1831-position model. The record is from RNAcentral.
UGGUGGAGUGAUUUGUCUGGUUAAUUCCGAUAACGAACGAGAUCCAGACCGCUCACUAGGGGUGGUAAUCGUCUGAUAGGUGAAGGCUCUUUCUUUCGAGAUUGGGUUGGAUCUUUGACGCGUUGCUUGCCUCUUCUUAGCGGGACCGCUGGCGACUAGCCAGUGGAAGUUCUGGACAAUAACA